Molecule: long non-coding RNA, 7209 nt
Filed under: Brassica napus (rape)
Lineage: Eukaryota; Viridiplantae; Streptophyta; Magnoliopsida; Brassicales; Brassicaceae
Description: long non-coding RNA (BNAP_LNC016262)
Source: RNAcentral
UUGGUCAAGUAAUUACACUUAUCUUUUUUUACUUCUUUUGUGUCUUUACAUCUGGGAAUAAGUUUUACCUUGGAGUAGAUUCAUGUUUCUGUAUUUGUUUAUUGGUUUGUUGGUGGGGAGUGCACUUUUUGUUGAAUCUAUAAUAGGUUGGGAGAAUCAAGCAGAAGCGGGGUUACAAAGAUCAGCAGUAUGACAUUCACAGAAAUGCUUUCAUCAGUAAGAGACUCUUCUCCCUUAACCAAUUUAAAAUUAUGAUUUUACUGUGAUAGAGUUAGUUGUUAGCUACUCUUUUCUGAUGCGAGGAUUGGGAGGAACCCUUGCUUUAAGCUGAUAAUAUGAUUGCAACAGUGUGUAUGUAGUAUGUACACUGUGUAGUUAGUAAUCUGUAUGUAUAUAAUAUGUGUAUGUAGUAUGUAAGAUGAUUAGAAGAAAGUAGAGCAUAUCCAAUUAGUUACUGACUAUGUCAAUAGUGUUAAAGCAUGAGAAUAAAACUAUUUUGAAACUCCUUAUGAUAAGAAUCAGACUAAGCUUGAAGUAAAGAUUGAAGGAGUUUUGUUUCUUUUUCGAUGACCUCUUAACUUUUCUCUUUCCAGAAAAUAAAAAUAAGUUCUACAAGAAUGCCAAAUAUGUGAUCAAGUUUACAAAGUCAACGAAGCACACAACUUUUGUGAGAAGGAUAAGAUGAAGCUGCACAACUUUUAUGCAGAGGAUCAGAAUAAACAACUUUCGUGUAGUUUAUCUUAAAAAAACAUGAAAAGGCACUCAAGCAUGCUGUGGACUUUAUAAUUCACAUGUGCAUUUACAUUUUAUCUCUUUUCAUUCUCCCUAAAAGAUCAAGAGCAAACCAAAAGAUAGCCUUUUCUCUAAUUUGGCUACAUAAAAACUUAAUGUUAACAACAGUUUUCUGAUUAAUCCAACUCUUAGACUAGAUUACUCUUUUUGUCGAUUUCAAAUUUUUUAUUAUGUUUUUUUUCUGUUCUCCAAAAAUGUUGACAGCACUGCAAAUCUAACACUUAGCAGUUGUAAAGGAGAGUCCCCCUAUUUAUGUUUGAUAUCGUGACAACACUUAUAUGUAACGACGUAGUAUUAAACCGACAGCUAUGCACACUAAGAUACAGAACGUACCCGGCAUAUAUAUGGCCAAAUACUUCUUUAACGUUAUAAACAUCCAACUUGAAUAGAGAACACUUAGCUCAAGAUUUGUAUUUUAUAAAAUUUGUAAACCAUUUUUAAUUUAAACCAGCUUAUGCUAACAAAUUCAUGCGAAAUCACAAGAUGCAUCAUGUAUGGUUAUUCGAUUAUUUCUUACAAACUCCGAGAUCUAAGAUUAAUAUAUAUUGUACAUAUUAAAUAAGAUAAUACUCUCUCUGUUUUUUUUUAUUGUAAGUAGUUUAAGUAAAAUUUGUUUGUUUCAAAAUAUAAGUAACUUUCAUAAUUUUAAGUAAUUUUUACUUUUAUUGGGUAUAUUGUGACCAAUCAAAUAAUAUAUAUUUAUUUAUAAUUGGUUUAACUACCCCUAAUUUAAAUAUCAAAUACUACUUUUAGAAAAAUUAAUAACUUUUUUAGUAUCUGUGCAUUCAUCUAAAACUACCUACAUAAAAAAAAAGAGGAAGUAGUAAUCAUUGUUUUGUUAAAAUAUGUGAAAAAUAUAUAAAUGUAGGAUUAUAUUGACACUAUGUUAAAUGUGUCUUUAUAAUUUCUAAAAUGAAUAGUAAAAUACAUAAAUAAAAUUGUUGUAAAAAAUUAUAAAUGUCAAUGCUAUUUUUAGUUAAAAUAAAUCAAAAAAUUUAAAAUAAAUUUGUACUAAUAAUUUAUUUACACUCCCGUCCUAUGGGCGGGUUUACUCUAGUUAAUUAUAAAACUACUCAUUAGAGCUUCUAAUAGGUUCUUACCAAUGGAGUUGCUCUAACAAGUCUAACGAAUAUUGAAUUUGAAACACAAAGAGAAGUAUUUGAGCACAUAUUUUGUUUUGCCUGGUAUUGAUCUGUUUACUUAAACAUAUUUUUGUUUUGCUUAAUUAACAAGGCGAACCGGUCGGGUUUUGUUUGUAUUGUUCCCAUAAAAGAUGGGGGAUUGUUGAUGUGCGGAGUCAAAAACUUUGUAAAGUUGAGUUUUCUUGGUUUUAUAAACGCUGUCGUUUUAGACAAGUGGUGUAAAUCUUGUCGGAUAUAUUGUCGUCACGUGAUGAUGAUGUCGUUUGAUGGUGUCAUGUGAACCAAGCCACGGGAUUAUCAUGAUGUGGCGUGCGUGCAUGAUCCAUGUUCUAUGAAAAUAAAAUAUGUUUUAUAAUUUCGAAUUAAAGAGUCCUCUUUAGCAUCUAAUACCUAUUUAAUCUCUUAUUUAAUUCCGUUAGAUAAUUAUAUAAUCGUUAACCAAUGCGUGUAUUUGUGGCAGGCGUUACACGUAACAAAUGAAAUCAGCAGCUACAAGAGAUCAAAGAAACAAAAGGUAUCCACUUCUCUCUCUCUCUCUUUCUUUUAUCUCGCACGAUCUCUAUAUCUAAUGCUCUUGGGGAAUAUUCUGCAGAUUUUCUUGGACCUUAAAGAUGCAGAGAACUUUCAGCUGAAGGAAAGACUUAACCUUCAAAAGGUUUUUUUUCUCUCUUUUCUUGAACAUUUGCUUUUACCAAAACCGUAUUCCUUAUAGAUCUCUUAUCUUUUCAUCAGAAUAUUGCAAAUGUGCAAGCAACAUACGAGAAACGAAGUGCCAAGAACCAAAGCUUGAAGAGAAUGAAGGUGUGUGACUUUACUUUAAUACAUUUCCGUUCUCUCUCUUUUUUUUCUUUUUAAAUUCCGCUGAUCUUGAAACCUGAAUCAGAAUCGUUUGCUGUUUUGUAGCUUGAGUACUCAGAUCGAAUCAAGAAUAUUCCAAUUAACAGAUCUAAUCUCGACGAGUCCCGGAAAAAGAGGCGGUUACCUUUCUCCAGCUCUCGAAAACCGGUGAAAAACGAACAUUCGUACAGAACAACAAGUGAAACCAAGAGACCUGAAGAAAAGGGUUUCUUCUUCCUCCCUGAUCUGAACAUGACACCCAUAGAGGAAGAAGAGACCUUGUACGGGACGCGUUAAACAAAGAAAGCUUUAACCCACAAUGACGUCACAGGUAAUUACUAGAGAUCAGUGGUGUAGCUUUUUGUCCGUGGACGGAGGAGAUGGGAGUAAGUGAUGAGUUUGCCGACAAAGAAUUCACACUACUCAACAAGGAUUCGAGAAGAUUUUAUAUAAGAAGAUAAAAAGGGAAUGAAACAAUGUAAUAAGAGGAUUACCAAAUAUUAUUCUCGAUUUUAUCUUCUCUGCUUAUGAAAUGAAUUUCUUGGGUAAAACAGUUUUUGAUUCUUGUUUUUUUUUUCUUGCGAAGUGCGCAAUUCAAGUAAAAAUGUAAGCCACCAAAUAGGCUGUUUCUUGUAAAAAUCUUCUUGUUUCACCAAAACAAUAGUUAUGUACAUCACAAAUGAUUCAUGCAUUGAAUGGUACCUAAAUACAAGAGAAAUGGCUUAUGACACUAAUACCUCAAGAACCUGCAACACAGCCAUAUCUUGAAUCAGAUACAGUGAUGAUGGAAGACAGGAGUUUCGUACAUAUCACUCGCGCAUGCUCUGCAGUAAUUGGCUCUUUCAUCAGAUACUUUACCUUUGAAUGAUGUCAUUGUUUGUCCUCAGAUUACCAAGUCUCUAUUAUCUGUAUCUAAGAUUACACAAGAUUACCCUUGCUCUUUUAAAUUUGAUGAUAUUGGGAUAUGUGUUAAAGACAAGAGAAUAAUGACAGUUUUCGUACGUGAGGCUAGUGUUAGUUGCAUAGUUGUAUAUUGAUUGAUUAGUCGUGUUACGCAACUUGUAUUGCUUGUGCAUGGUUUAUUGAUUUUUUUCGUGUUCUUUUCUGUAUUAAUAAUGACAUUAAUUUGGGCUUAAGUAUUCAAGUUGACUGUUCGAAUCAUGAUCUAUAUUAUUAACUAGAAAAUGAUUGACAAAUAUCUCAAGGGAGAAGAAGAAGAAGCCUGCAUAGCCAAAAUACAGUUGCACACUAAUAGCAUCUCCAAUCCCACUCCAUAAUUUAUUGCAAAAUGGAGUGGGAAAUGGAGUGAUGAAUAAAUAAAAACCGUUGUGAAGGAAAUGAGUUUUUUUUUUGUUCAUCCUCAACGUCCCUCUGUUCUCUCCUAUGAUGCACCGGGACGGAUACAGGGACAGAUACUGGUACGGAAGCGGGGACGGGAAACGGCAAAACUAAAAAAUUACGGGUACGGGUACGGGAAAUAUAUAUCAAUAAAGUAUAUAUAUAUGUAUAUUUAUAUACUGAAAAAUAAAAAUAUAUCACUGUAAAUCUUAUCUAAUAAACUAAAAAGAUUAGAAAGUAGGUUAUAAAUUCAAAAUCUAGUAUAAACUUCUACUUUUUAUUUUUUAUUUGUAAGAAAAGUAAGUGAAUAAGCUUAAAAAGGAUAAUAGCAAAGCAAAUAUUUUCUGAAAAUUUCCAUAAUUAACGGUUCGGUGUCCCCGUGCCGUCCCCGAAGUGUCCCCAUCCCGGAAACGUCUCCGGUACGGAUACGUAAAUCAAUUUGACGUCCCCGUGCUUCAUAGGUUCUCUCUCUAUCUCCCUGAUUAAACCUUCAUAAUCAGGUAAUUAUCUCAGGCUUAGAAUCGUUAUUUUGCUUUGGUGGGUUUGUAAUUGUAUGAUGAUGAUGAUGAUGAAGGAAUUGCAAUGUUAUGGGUUUGUUGGUUUUGUGAUUUUGAUUAUCUAAGAUUGUUCAUAAUCUUGUCUAGCGCCAGAGAAGCGACAUGAUUUCCUUCACAACGAUUUCUCUCUCUUUCUCUCUGUGUUAAUGUCGUGGAAGAAGUCUGAUUUCAUUUUGAUAGAUGAUGGUUUCGCUCUCUUUCUCUCUGUGUUAAUGCCGGAGCAGAGGAGAAAGUCGAUGACUUGUAAUGCCAAGUCAUGCCCUGUUUGGUCUAGGUGUCCCCGAGCUUGUUGUGAUUGCUGGCGUCGCUGAGUUGGUUCUUCUUAGAUAUAUAGCUUGUACUUGUAUGUUCUGUGUUCCUUUUAGCUCUUCUUGUCUUUAAUAUUUGCAUUGAUGAAGGGCUUGUGGGGGAUUGUGUAAUGAUGCAGGCUGCAAAAGAGUUUGAGUCUGAGCUUAAGCCAGAACCUGAAGAUCAUGUUACUGGCUCGUCUCCUGUGGCAAUGAGCAACAAGGAAGACUUUAUCUGUCAUUAAGUGGAGUGGAAGAGACAAUAGUAAAUUAUGCAGCGGCCAAAGGAGAUAGUUCGCUCAAGGCAGCAAUGGCUUCACAGUCCGUUGUGCAAUUGGGUUUGCUUAUGACAUUGCCAAUGAUAAUGGAGGAGCCAAGUACAGAGCAACAGGUCGUGGUUUUGUGUUCAAGCACGAGAAGUUUGCAGAGAAUUACAGGAUGUAUUCGAGAAGCCACUUUGUGAAAGGAUUGGAGUUGAUGGUACAAAUCAAGAUUUCAACUAAUCAGGUUUUUCUAGUUUAUGAGUUGUAUUUGUAUCUUUAAAUAUGCUUUUAUGUCAUUUUAUUUAAAUUUUUAUGUUAUUAAAUUCAAUCAUUCAAAUUCUAAAAAAAAAAAAAAAUUAAGAACCUCUAAGAAAUUCUCCCAUUGGACUAUGGAAAAAUUAGUUACACUUAUAGGGGUUCUAAACUUUUCAAAUCACACAAUCUUUAUAUAUAAAGUAUAGUUUCUCUCAGUCCUAGGCAUGACAAGUCGGAUUCCACGUCAUCAAUUCUGGUGACAUCGUGACGACACGUGGCAUACUCAUUUACCAAUCGAAGGCUUUUGUGUUUUGUUUCUGGGCUUUCCCGAAUAUUAGGUUAUAGACAAUGAGUUAAUUAUAUUUGGGCCAAAAUCCAGACAAGAUAGACCCAUAACGCUUUAAUCUUCUUCCGAAACAAUUUUAGAGUUCAUGGACUCUAAGACUCGGAUUCUGUCUGCCAACAAUGGCGUUUUUGAGAUUGCCCAAGACUCGAUGAUUCGUUGUUAAUCCUCCUGCGGAUACGGAGGACGCGGUGGUUACGGUGGCGGCGGUAGAGGAAAUCAAGGUAUGGGAUUUAGAUUGUUCUAGAUCUGAAAGGAUACGUCUUUAUGAUUCUUUAGAUCUCUAGCUUGGUUUCUUCUCUUCAAUCAUUACUUUCUUUAAAUCUGCUAAUGAUUUGAUUCGAUUCAAGCGGUGGUGGUUAUCAAGAAGGUGAUCGCGGUGUAAGAGUAGGUGGCGGCGGUGGCGGGAGAGGUGGUGGUGGCAGAGAUGGUGGCUGCAAAGAUGGUGAUUGGCGUUGCCCUAACCCAAGGUAAUUAUUUCUUUAGUCUUUUAAUCCAUUCUUUCUGCCUGUGUAAUGAUUGAAAUUGGAUUCUCUGUGGAAUAGUAUGUUUUGGAGUUGUUUAACCUUAAACUGUUUUGUAUAUAUAGUUGUGGGAAAGUGAACUUUGCAAGGAGACUUGAAUGUAACAAGUGUGGGGCACCUACUCCUUCUGGCACUUGUGAGUGGUGACCGAGGAGGUGGCCGAGGUGCCAGCGAUCGUGGUGGUGGUCGUGAUAGUGGUAGGAGCUAUGAGAGUAGUAGAUAUGAUGGUGGCAGUAGGAGCGGUGGUGGUGGUGGCGGCUCUUAUGGUAGUGAUUGUUGGGGUAAUGGUUCUUAUGGUCAUGGUUCUCCACCUCCUUUGGCGGCUAUUCCAUCCUAUGAUGGUUCUGGCAGUUACCCUCUGCCCAUGGGGUAUGGAAUGGAAGCAGUUCCCCUGCCUUCAAGCUAUGCUGGUGGUCCCCCUUCUUAUGGUGGUCCCACAGGGGGUUAUGGCAGUGAUGCACCGAGCAUUGGUGGUCGGGGUGGUAGAGGUGGUAGCUACGAUGGUGAUAGUGCUCCUCGACGCCAGGAACCUAGCUAUGGAGAUGCACCUGCUGAAAAAGUCAAGCAGUGCGACGAGAAUUGUGAUAAUGCCACAAUAUAUAUCAAUAAUUUACCUCCAGAUGUGACAACGGAUGAACUCAAAGAUCUCUUUGGAGGCAUUGGUCAAGUAAUUACACUUAUCUUUUUUUACUUCUUUUGUGUCUUUACAUCUGGGAAUAAGUUUUACCUUGGAGUAGAUUCAUGUUUCUGUAUUUGUUUAUUGGUUUGUUGGUGGGGAGUGCACUUUUUGUUGAAUCUAUAAUAGGUUGGGAGAAUCAAGCAGAAGCGGGGUUACAAAGAUCAGCAGUAUGACAUUCACAGAAAUGCUUUC